Molecule: unclassified non-coding RNA, 378 nt
Filed under: plant metagenome
Description: partial contains 5.8S ribosomal RNA, internal transcribed spacer 2, and large subunit ribosomal RNA
Rfam family: 5.8S ribosomal RNA (bases 1-105)
Source: RNAcentral
GAAAUGCGAUAAGUAAUGUGAAUUGCAGAAUUCAGUAAAUCAUCGAAUCUUUGAACGCACCUUGCGCUCCUUGGUAUUCCUUGGAGCAUGCCUGUUUGAGUAUCAUGAAAUCUUCAAAGUAAAUCUUUUGUUAACUCAAUUGGUUUCUACUUUGGUAUUGGCGGUCUUUGCAGCUUCACACCUGCUCCUCUUUGUUCAUUAGCUGGAUCUCAGUGUUAUGCUUGGUUCCACUCGGCGUGAUAAGUUAUCUAUCGCUGAGGACACUGUAAAAGGUGGCCAAGGUAAAUGCAGAUGAACCGCUUCUAAUAGUCCAUUGACUUGGACAAUACUUUUAUGAUCUGAUCUCAAAUCAGGUAGGACUACCCGCUGAACUUAAGC